AAAAAGUUGACUAAUUCAUUUAUAAGUGUUCUUCAAUCCUUAUAAAUAUUGGAAAACAUAUAAGAACCUUUGUUACUAACAAAUAUAUAAGAUUUAAGAUUUGAAAACAAAAAACUGACCCAAUCCUUAAAUUGAGAGAUGAGAAUGUUUACGAUGUUCAAGAAAAAUCCAAGAAGGAAAAAUAAUAAAAAUCUUGAACGAACUAAUUCAACUACUAACAAAUGAAGGCAUAAAAUCAAGUCUAGAGGAAUCUCUAGAAACUUCAUCAAUAAACUCUUGCAAAG
This 284-nucleotide long non-coding RNA is filed under the name Lathyrus oleraceus (garden pea). RNAcentral describes it as "Pisum sativum (pea) long non-coding RNA (PSAT_LNC025067)". The record is from RNAcentral. Lineage: Eukaryota; Viridiplantae; Streptophyta; Magnoliopsida; Fabales; Fabaceae.